Molecule: RNA transcript, 1789 nt
Organism: Triticum urartu
Lineage: Eukaryota; Viridiplantae; Streptophyta; Magnoliopsida; Poales; Poaceae
Source: RefSeq, a predicted model, not a curated record
UCGAGCCGCGAUCCACCACCGCCCCCCUGCUUCCAUCCGCCGCCGCCCCUUGCUUCCAGCGCUGGCCCUCUUCCCCAGCGUGCCACUAGGCCCUCCCCCAUCGCCAUCUUCAACGCGCCGCCGUCGCUAGCCCUCUGCCCAACGCGCCGGGGGCCCUUCACGUCCCAUCUCCGGCGACAAGCCGCCCCCGCUGGACCCCGAGCGCGGCCGCCCCUCCGACUAUGCUGAGUACGUCAGUCUGUCAGUUCGCCGGUGGGAACCGCAAGUCAGGACCCCAUCUUCCACCCCGCCUCCCACCUCUCGGCCGUCGCGCGCCUCCCACCCUCCGACCGCUGCGCGCCUCCCUUCCCCGUCCGCCGCACGCCUCCCACCUUCGGGCCGCCGCGCGCCUCCCUUCCCCUGCCGCCGCGCACUGUCGAUGGCGGCAUGCCUCAUUUCAUCGCUCCAUGGAUCGGUGCUCACCUCGAAGGCGCUGUGGACACAGUGGUGCUACUGCAUCGCCUCCUUCCCGUGCUUACAGGUUGGCCUCCUCCUUAGCCCCUUCUGCCCCGAGGAGGACAACAUCCAGCACAGACCGUUCACCGCCACUACCCCGGGCAGUUCACCACUGUCACCCUCGGCCAUUCACCCCUGCUCCCGACUUCCCUUCCAUUCCUCAGUUCAAUGGAUUCCAAAAAGGAAACAAUUGUGGAUGGGUGAUGAAUCAACUUCCUGUACUAUUGUGCCAUGAGCAUUGGACAACCCCGACCACCGGCACCACUGCUUCCCGACCUCCUGCUUGCAUCGCCAUCUCCUGGUGGGGCUCUGCCACCGGAGCACCCUGGCCGUUCACAGCCACCACUCCAGGCUGUUCAACGCCACCACCCCAGGCCGUUCAUUGCCAGCAGCACCCUGGAUCCCACCCCUCACCCUAGGAGUUUCAGUUAUCGAGCCUGGGGAUGUUUUUUCAUUUGACAUACUUCAAGUAUUUUGUGGGGUACAUCCAACGACAAUGAGCAGGCGACAAGUGUAUUGAUGAGCAGCGGGACGGUGGCAUGGAUCAGUUGAGUAGGUGUGCGUAGUUCAAGUUCACCAGUAUUUGUAAAUGCUGGUAGCAAUACUAGUAUUUACAAAUUUGUAACCUAAGAACUCAGCUUGCAUCUCGUUACUUCUAUGGAAGAACUGACGUAGUAAUAUUAUUGGACCAACCACUAACUUGAGAAUUAGACAUGGUGCUCAGUGUAUUCUCUCAAUCUUGGUUGUUCUUGCAGUGCUUAUAAGCUUGAAAACUUUGAUGAAUCCAGCCCGAACUGAAUCAUGUCGGUGAGUCAGGCGCUGGGCCAACCACUGUCAUUUGUCUACCUCCUUCCCGGUGAGCCCAUGCUCUUCUGCUCUUGACGCUUGAGCCGCCUGCAAUUCUUUUCUCUGUUCAAAAAUUCCCAAAGCAUCAGCAAUUCUUUUCUCUGUUCAAAAAUUCCCAAAGCAUCAGUACUUUGUAUCUGGAUACACCAUGUUUCUGCAAAUUUCCAUUAUGCUUGUAUGUACAAAAUGUGUGCAUUUACUACUUUUGAUUUGUUGUAGUGCAGAGAAGUUACCUUAUUGCAGGCUGACCUGGAGGUGGCUCCUCCAUGUCGACACAAUUACAGGACCAACGUGCUACUGACCACGCAAGCUUCCUCAAGGAGCUCGUGCCCAACGAUACUAAAAGGAAAAACUGCUCCAGUUUUGAACUACUUAUUCAGUCAUGCUAUUACUGAGUGAAAAAUUGAGUGAAAGUGUAUUGCAAUUGAUCUCUCUUAGACCCUGUCAA